Molecule: ribosomal RNA, 255 nt
Filed under: uncultured bacterium
Lineage: Bacteria
Description: partial 16S ribosomal RNA
Rfam family: Bacterial small subunit ribosomal RNA
Source: RNAcentral
GACGUAGGGCGCGAGCGUUGUCCGGAUUUAUUGGGCGUAAAGAGCUCGUAGGCGGCUUGUUGCGUCGACUGUGAAAACCCGAGGCUCAACCUCGGGCCUGCAGUCGAUACGGGCAGACUAGAGUAUGGCAGGGGAGACUGGAAUUCCUGGUGUAGCGGUGAAAUGCGCAGAUAUCAGGAGGAACACCGGUGGCGAAGGCGGGUCUCUGGGCCAUAACUGACGCUGAGGAGCGAAAAGCGUGGGGGAGCGAACAGG